AUACGUACUGUGCGAACGUUAUUCGGAAUCACUGGGCUUAAAGGGUGUGUAGGCGGCCACAUAAGUAGGAUGUGAAAUCUCUCGGCUUAACCGAGAAACUGCGUUCUAAACUGUAUGGCUUGAGUAAGAUAGGGGUGUGCGGAACCUCCGGUGGAGCGGUGAAAUGUGUUGAGAUCGGAGGGAACACCAGAAGCGAAGGCGGCACACUGGGUCUUAACUGACGCUGAGACACGAAAGCUAGGGUAGCGAACGGGAUUAGAAACCCUAGUAGUCC
This 274-nucleotide ribosomal RNA is filed under the name uncultured bacterium. Its description in RNAcentral is "partial 16S ribosomal RNA". It matches the Rfam family "Bacterial small subunit ribosomal RNA", at positions 523 to 796 of the family's 1533-position model. The record is from RNAcentral.